This 429-nucleotide ribosomal RNA is filed under the name Gemmatimonadota bacterium. RNAcentral's name for it is "Gemmatimonadetes bacterium partial 16S ribosomal RNA". It matches the Rfam family "Bacterial small subunit ribosomal RNA", at positions 355 to 776 of the family's 1533-position model. Lineage: Bacteria; Pseudomonadati; Gemmatimonadota. The record is from RNAcentral.
UAGGGAAUCUUCGGCAAUGGACGAAAGUCUGACCGAGCAACGCCGCGUGAGUGAAGAAGGUUUUCGGAUCGUAAAACUCUGUUGUUAGAGAAGAACAAGGACGUUAGUAACUGAACGUCCCCUGACGGUAUCUAACCAGAAAGCCACGGCUAACUACGUGCCAGCAGCCGCGGUAAUACGUAGGUGGCAAGCGUUGUCCGGAUUUAUUGGGCGUAAAGCGAGCGCAGGCGGUUUCUUAAGUCUGAUGUGAAAGCCCCCGGCUCAACCGGGGAGGGUCAUUGGAAACUGGGAGAGUUGAGUGCAGAAGAGGAGAGUGGAAUUCCAUGUGUAGCGGUGAAGUGCGUAGAUAUAUGGAGGAACACCAGUGGCGAAGGCGGCUCUCUGGUCUGUAACUGACGCUGAGGCUCGAAAGCGUGGGGAGCAAACAGG